This 73-nucleotide transfer RNA is filed under the name uncultured archaeon. RNAcentral describes it as "tRNA-Gly(gcc)". It matches the Rfam family "tRNA". From Rfam's summary of the family: Transfer RNA (tRNA) molecules are approximately 80 nucleotides in length. The record is from RNAcentral.
GCGGCUGUAGUGUAGCCUGGUAUCACUCGAGAUUGCCAAUCUUGCAACCCGGGUUCAAAUCCCGGCAGCCGCA